GCACCUACGGGAGGUAGCAGUGGGGAAUAUUGCACAAUGGGGGAAACCCUGAUGCAGCAACGCCGCGUGAGUGAAGAAGUAUUUCGGUAUGUAAAGCUCUAUCAGCAGGGAAGAAGAUGACGGUACCUGACCAAGGAGCCCCGGCUAACUACGUGCCAGCAGCCGCGGUAAUACGUAGGGGGCAAGCGUUAUCCGGAUUUACUGGGUGUAAAGGGAGCGUAGGCGGUGAUGCAAGUCAGAAGUGAAAGCCCGCAGCUCAACUGCGGGACUGCUUUUGAAACUGUAUGACUAGAUUGCAGGGGAGG
RNAcentral lists this ribosomal RNA (305 nucleotides) under uncultured bacterium. RNAcentral's name for it is "bacterial SSU rRNA". It matches the Rfam family "Bacterial small subunit ribosomal RNA", at positions 335 to 657 of the family's 1533-position model. The record is from RNAcentral.